CUCUAGGUACAACUGGGUGCACUGAUUGUUUUCUGGCUCCAGUUAACUCUCUCUCUGCUACUGUGAGGCUGCUGUGAGAUAAGUACACUCAAAGACUCCAGUGCUAUUCCGUGCCCACUGCCCAUAAGAGGAACAUGAGAGAGCAUUUGAAUUUGAUCCAAAUGACUGAGUUUAGCCGCUGCACACACAAAUCAAACUGACAAGUUCAUGCCCAGCCUACCACUACUGCAACUCAUCUUGACUCAUCUAAAGGACUUUCUUCUGAGAGGAAGGUUCCCUGGCCUUGCUCUCGUUUAAGGAACUUUCACCUAAAGUCAAUCAUAUUGCAUCCAUCCAAACCUGCCUGGUCUAAGGAGAAAGAAUCCAAACAGAUAAUAGCCUUGAUGAGAUCAUAACUAACCAGAGUCCAAGCAGCAAGUGAGAUGAUCAACUUGCCAGCCAACGCAUCCACUCCUAACAAACCAUUGGUCCACAAACAUCAACAAAAGCCAUAUUUCACCCAUCUUCUCUAUUCUGCCUGUCCUCCAUCUUGUGUCUGUCUGUUUGUUAAGAACAGGAUGACUGAAUGCCUUUCACAUCAGGAUUGAGAGUAAGAUUAACCUUAUCAUUUUCAACAAAGGUUGCUCUGAAAAUAAGAGACUGAUAUUUUGACUCCAAAAGGAGAAAUAAUUUGAUAAAGUCUGACUAAAUUUGUUUUGCAUAGUCAC
This is a long non-coding RNA of Mauremys reevesii (Reeves's turtle), 707 nucleotides long. RefSeq lists it as uncharacterized. NCBI's taxonomy places the organism in Eukaryota, Metazoa, Chordata, Testudines, Geoemydidae. The transcript has 4 exons. The record is from RefSeq and is a predicted model, not a curated record.